This 362-nucleotide ribosomal RNA is filed under the name Salmonella enterica subsp. enterica. RNAcentral's name for it is "bacterial LSU rRNA". It matches the Rfam family "Bacterial large subunit ribosomal RNA", at positions 504 to 766 of the family's 2925-position model. Lineage: Bacteria; Pseudomonadati; Pseudomonadota; Gammaproteobacteria; Enterobacterales; Enterobacteriaceae. The record is from RNAcentral.
UGAGGGAAAGGCGAAAAGAACCCCGGCGAGGGGAGUGAAAAAGAACCUGAAACCGUGUACGUACAAGCAGUGGGAGCCCCACCACCAAAGCAUUCUCUGGUGUUGAAGGCCCUGCAAAGCAGCAUCGCGGUGGCGGAGCGUCGUUUGCGACGCCCAACACACAAAACAAGCGGUGAGUGCUUUGGGGUGGGGUGACUGCGUACCUUUUGUAUAAUGGGUCAGCGACUUAUAUUCUGUAGCAAGGUUAACCGUAUAGGGGAGCCGGAGGGAAACCGAGUCUUAACUGGGCGUUAAGUUGCAGGGUAUAGACCCGAAACCCGGUGAUCUAGCCAUGGGCAGGUUGAAGGUUGGGUAACACUAAC